This 301-nucleotide ribosomal RNA is filed under the name uncultured bacterium. RNAcentral's name for it is "partial 16S ribosomal RNA". It matches the Rfam family "Bacterial small subunit ribosomal RNA", at positions 509 to 807 of the family's 1533-position model. The record is from RNAcentral.
CAGCCGCCGCGGGAAUACGAAGGGGGCUAGCGUUGCUCGGAAUGACUGGGCGUAAAGGGCGCGUAGGCGGUUUUGACAGUCAGAUGUGAAAUUCCUGGGCUUAACCUGGGGGCUGCAUUUGAGACGUCAAGACUAGAGUGUGAGAGAGGGUUGUGGAAUUCCCAGUGUAGAGGUGAAAUUCGUAGAUAUUGGGAAGAACACCGGUGGCGAAGGCGGCAACCUGGCUCAUUACUGACGCUGAGGCGCGAAAGCGUGGGGAGCAAACAGGAUUAGAGACCCCCGUAGUCCCUGUCUCUUAUAC